Molecule: ribosomal RNA, 131 nt
Filed under: uncultured bacterium
Lineage: Bacteria
Description: partial 16S ribosomal RNA
Rfam family: Bacterial small subunit ribosomal RNA
Source: RNAcentral
CCUACGGGAGGCAGCAGUAGGGAAUAUUGCGCAAUGGGCGAAAGCCUGACGCAGCGACGCCGCGUGAAGGAUGAAGUCCUUCGGGAUGUAAACUUCAAUAGUUAGGGAUGAAACUGACAGUACCUAACGAG